GUAGGCUAUGGGGACAUGGCCCCCAAGACGUAUGUAGGUAUGUUUGUGGGUGCAUUAUGUGCCCUCGCAGGUGUGUUGACGAUAGCUCUGCCGGUACCUGUCAUAGUGAGCAAC
Octopus bimaculoides (California two-spot octopus) is the source of this 114-nucleotide non-coding RNA. NCBI's taxonomy places the organism in Eukaryota, Metazoa, Mollusca, Cephalopoda, Octopoda, Octopodidae. The record is from Rfam.